Carica papaya (papaya) is the source of this 727-nucleotide non-coding RNA. NCBI's taxonomy places the organism in Eukaryota, Viridiplantae, Streptophyta, Magnoliopsida, Brassicales, Caricaceae. The record is from RefSeq and is a predicted model, not a curated record.
CUCUAGAAUCAGAUCCUUCUCGUGUCUUCUAUCUAACCAUCUCUUCUCCUUCUCAUCUAUAGGAACCCCCAAUUAACCUGGCCAUAACCAUCAACAUUCGUCUCUCUACUUCGCUCCUCGGAUGAAGCUUCCGUGGUUUCUCUUCGGUUACGAAACAGACUUCAUAUCUUCUCUGCAGGAAUAUGCAUCAACGCAUGUGCUACCUGAAUAUUGAGAUGCGUCUCAUAGCAAACAGUAAAAUUCAUUGUCAUAGUUGCUGAUCACCUGUAGGUUAUGAUAAGAGGUCUUCGAAUGUUUUUUUUUUCUUUUUCACUGAAUUUCAGUGCUAUUCUAGUCUAUAGUUUUUCUAAGUCCAACUGACUUUGCUGUACUUUUGUUUACUCCCUUAUUUGCUUGGAACUGGAUUUGUAUUGCAAACCAGGUCUUCUGACCUACUUUCAGGUAGGACAUGACAGGCAGCCAAAUCAUUCGGGACUGAUGCAAUGCAAAACAAGAUAUUAUUUUGGAACAAAUUUUCAAUUAAAAAAAUAAUGUGUAAUAACUACUAUCGUGUAUUUUUCGGCUAUUUAGGUUAUUUAGAUCUAUUUAUGUAGAUUAAGUAUUACAAACUAAGAGUGUUUUAGGUUUUGUUUUUAUAAUUUUCCGUAUUAGUUGUAAUUAAUACCUAUACAAAAACUUAUAGCGACGAAUGAAGAGAAUAGAAGAUGACGAAUUAAGAAUUUCUUUA